AUGCUCCUCCUGAAGACUAAGCCAUGCAUGCUUGAUUGACGAUCCUUCGAAUCUGCGAACGGCUCCGCACACCAGUUGCAUACCAGAACGUGUCCACCAGCGGGCGCUGGCGUUCGCCCUGGGGUCGCCCACCUCUCGUUAGGUGUGGCCCUUCGCCUGGGGGUCUAAUCCGUCGGUCCGCUGGCACGACUAACCCUGGUAAUUCUGAGGCUAAUACGGAAGAAACUGUACCCUGCCGGACGUUCGACCGGGCAGGCGCCGCGAGGUGCCUGUCUCAGGCAUCCCGACUAGGGGUCUGUACGUGCAAGCACAGGAUAGAUAGGAAUCAGCGUACCAGACAGUCCUCCUCUGUGUGACGUCGUCUCGAGCGGCUCCGUUGCUCUCCAUCACCGUCGAUGAUUCCCGGGAGGUGGGGUCGGUUCAGCUGGAUAUAGAGCGAGUCAUACCGGUGGGGGGGUGCUCGUCUAGUGCGUCUGACCUAUCAACUCCAGAGCAGCGUCACGGACGCGUUAUGGUAGCAACGGGUACAGAGGAUAAGGGUUCGAUCCUGGAGAGUGAGCCUGGGAGAUCGCUCACACUUCUAAGGAAGGCAGCAGGCGCGCAACGUUCCCCAUGGGGUGACCCUUGAGGGCGUUAUGGGACAUAUGAGUGGACCGCCUAUACAGGCGUCCUAUCCAAAUGG
RNAcentral lists this ribosomal RNA (682 nucleotides) under Stemonitis axifera. RNAcentral's name for it is "SSU rRNA". It matches the Rfam family "Eukaryotic small subunit ribosomal RNA", at positions 28 to 517 of the family's 1831-position model. Lineage: Eukaryota; Evosea; Eumycetozoa; Stemonitida; Stemonitidae. The record is from RNAcentral.